GACGAACGCUGGCGGCGUGCCUAAUACAUGCAAGUCGAACGCUGAAGGAGGAGCUUGCUUCUCCGGAUGAGUUGCGAACGGGUGAGUAACGCGUAGGUAACCUGCCUGGUAGCGGGGGAUAACUAUUGGAAACGAUAGCUAAUACCGCAUAAGAGUAGAUGUUGCAUGACAUUUGCUUAAAAGGUGCAAUUGCAUCACUACCAGAUGGACCUGCGUUGUAUUAGCUAGUUGGUGAGGUAACGGCUCACCAAGGCGACGAUACAUAGCCGACCUGAGAGGGGGAUCGGCCACAAUGGGACUGAGACACGGCCCAGACUCCUACGGGAGGCAGCAGGAGGGAAUCUUCGGCAAUGGACGGAAGGCUGACCGAGCAACGCCGCGUGAGUGAAGAAGGGUUUCGGAUCGUAAAGCUCUGUUGUAAGAGAAGAACGAGUGUGAGAGUGGAAAGUUCACACUGUGACGGUAUCUUACCAGAAAGAGACGGCUAACUACGUG
Molecule: ribosomal RNA, 495 nt
Filed under: uncultured bacterium
Lineage: Bacteria
Description: partial 16S ribosomal RNA
Rfam family: Bacterial small subunit ribosomal RNA
Source: RNAcentral